Molecule: antisense RNA, 178 nt
Filed under: Gloeomargarita lithophora Alchichica-D10
Lineage: Bacteria; Bacillati; Cyanobacteriota; Cyanophyceae; Gloeomargaritales; Gloeomargaritaceae
Description: Antisense RNA which regulates isiA expression
Rfam family: Antisense RNA which regulates isiA expression
Source: Rfam by way of RNAcentral
GGUAUUCCCACAGGGCAAAUACAUCCACAUUCGGCUGACUCACCACCCGCACCUGUUCGAGGGUGGCAUCGUACAAACCACCAAACCACAUCGCCUUGGCGACUAAAAGUAAGGCACCCAAACCCAACAUCAACAGGUGAUGCCCCAAAAUCAGCCCCAACUUGGCUUCAUCAUCCCA